GCCUGCGUGGCGCAAUGGUUAGCGCGUCAGACUUCUACUCUGAAGAUAUCUGAGGGUUGCGGGUUCGAGUCCCGCCGUGGGUA
This is a non-coding RNA of Blastocladiella britannica, 83 nucleotides long. The record is from the annotation of a GenBank genome assembly. Lineage: Eukaryota; Fungi; Blastocladiomycota; Blastocladiomycetes; Blastocladiales; Blastocladiaceae.